Molecule: ribosomal RNA, 507 nt
Filed under: uncultured bacterium
Lineage: Bacteria
Description: partial 16S ribosomal RNA
Rfam family: Bacterial small subunit ribosomal RNA
Source: RNAcentral
AGUGAACGCUGGCGGUAGGCCUAACACAUGCAAGUCGAACGGCAGCACAGGAGAGCUUGCUCUCUGGGUGGCGAGUGGCGGACGGGUGAGGAAUACAUCGGAAUCUACUCUGUCGUGGGGGAUAACGUAGGGAAACUUACGCUAAUGCCGAAUACGACCUACGGGUGAAAGCAGGGGAUCUUCGGACAUUGCGCGAUGGAAUGAGCCGAUGUCGGAUUGGCUAGUUGGCGGGGUAAAGGCCCACCAAGGCGACGAUCCGUAGCGGGUCUGAGAGGAUGAUCAGCCACACUGGAACUGAGACACGGUCCAGGCUCCUACGGGAGGCGGCAUUGGGGAAUAUUGGACAAUGGGCGCAAGCCUGAUCCAGCCAUACCGCGUGGGUGAAGAAGGCCUUCGGGUUGUAAAGCCCUUUUGUUGGGAAAGAAAUCCAGCUGGCUAAUACCCGGUUGGGAUGACGGUACCCAAAGAAUAAGCACCGGCUAACUUCGUGCCAGCCGCCGCCCGUAA